AUCUCAAACAGCUGUUAGUUGAUAUUCAGCAUGACAGACUGUAGAAUGUAAACACAAAAUUUUGUUCCAGCCCACAAAAUUUAAUAGUUUCUUGAAAUAAGUAUUUUUAGAAUUUAUCUGUCUUCAAAAAAGAGAAAAUGAACAUUUAAUAUCCGAUUUGAUUAAUUUAAUUUUACUGCAACAUGUCAGAUAAGUUGACUACAGUUCUUGCUCACACAGUACUGGCGUUUUCGUCUGGUUACAGUCUAUCAAAUACAGAGUUUGGUUUUUCAACCAUUGGAUUAAGCUUGUAUUUUGCUACUGGUGUGAUGGGUGCUGUUAUUUACGGAGCUCGAGACAUUGGAGGGUCUAUUUAUAAACUCUUGAGUAACUUGUGGGUGCUUAGCAUAGCGUUUGGACUACCAUCGAUAUCUUCUCACCUUUAUGUCAUCAAUAAUUUCCCAGAAGCAGUGAUUGGACUUCAUUUUCUCCUACCAGCUGCUUUUUCCAUUAAUCUUUAUUUUUUCUCCAAAAGAACUAAUUUCAAAUUACUAGAAUCAAUUAAUUUGCCGUACUUAUUAUCGAUAGCUUAUUCAUGUUCUCAAACAAUGAAUUAUCAUGGGUUUGCAUUGGUUAUAAGUUAUGUUAUUGCUUUAUAUGCGAUUGGAACUACUGGUACUGUUAGGAAUAUGCCUUCAAGGGAUCUACUUAGUAUUUCUCUUGUAUUUUCCAAUUACUAUACUGUCAAAACUAUCAACUUUCGUAGUUAAAUGUUCUAAAAUUAAUGAACAGAAUGCUACCUGACUGAACAACAUUUUAAAAAUGUGUAGAUAGGUACCUAGUGGAAUCUAUUUUUGAUUACUUUUAUGUGGAAUAAUCUUCCAUGAUUGAAUGCUGUUUUCAGUGUGUUCAAUGUUAUUAUUAUUAUUGUAGCUGAAUUUUCAGAAGUAACUUAAUCUAUUUUAAAUACAAUUCAAGUAAUAUUUUUAGUCAUUACUGUAUGCCUACUACAAAGGCAGGAUAGGUUUAGAAAAGCCGUAUCUAUUACUAGUCAAAAAAUAUUAUUUGUCAUGCUUGAUGAGUAUUUAUGGUUCUGUAGAGCAUAAAUCAUAGAAUAAUUAUUGUAUUUUUUCCAUUGCUAUGCUGUUUCAUGAUCUCGUUGAACAUAACUCCAUUCAACUGUAGGCUUCAGCUACACCAUGCUUUGCUAUGGAGGUAGCACAAUGGAUCCAAAACACUAACUUAUAUAUUUGUAGCAAAAUGUGUUGUCCCUGUGCUCAAGUUAGUUGAUCAGUAACUGUCCAAUUCAUAUUUUAAAUGAUUUGAAUAUUGUAUGAAUCCACUACUAAUUAAUUCACCAAUUAGUAUAUUGCAUUUAUUUAGUAAAAUUGAAACAACAUUUUUUACUUGAUUCACAAAUGUUGCACUGUAAUCUGUUAGUUCAUGGCAUUUCAGUUCUAAGAGCAGCCAUUUAAUUGGUUGUAAGAUUGACCAAUUUCUUUCUAUCUUCGAUCAAAAAUUACUGAAUUAAUUUAGUAAAUGAGUAAAAUUCACUGCAUUAUUCAAGUAUCGAUCCUGGACCCUGCUAGGACCAAUUUAUUUUAGGCCUUUAGACUUUAUUGUUGUCAGUCUUAAAAAUAACAAUCACAAUGAAAUACUUGAAAUACUUGGACCCUGCUAGGACCAAUAUUUAUUUUAGGUCUUUAGACUUUAUUCUUGUCAGUCUUAAAAAUAACAAUCACAAUGAAAUGCUUCUCUUCAAUCGUUUUGAUCAAUAUUAAAAGUAGAUAUUCAACUCACUUACGGCAAUUUCUGCUUCUCAUAGAUGCUUUUUAAUAGAUGUUUCUUGAAACUUUAAAUUGUAGUCCUAGACUUCGAGCUAGACCUUGAAAUCAUGUGUUGAGGACGAUUUGUGAUGAGUAUUUUCUAUCUAAUAUUCUGCCUAUCUAAUUUCUAAUAUUCGUAAUUCUUGCUUAUUAUGUUUCUAACUUAUAACAACAAAUUAUUGCUUGUGCAUGAGUGACUGCACUUUUAAAUUUUUGUGACCCACACUAAAAUAAUUUGUUCUUCGCACAUUGAGUGGAUUAACAAUUUGUACAAUUGUUCUGGGCUAGAUAGCUAAGUUCAACCCCAUAUUCCAAUUUUAUAAUAUUACACUGACUCAAGAAUCCACCUUUAGAGGUGGUAUAUUGGCAAUUUAUUGCGAUAUCCUCCCAAUAAUAUUUAUACUUCAGCUUGAUGCCAAGGAAGUAUGUAAAAGCACUUCAGUUUAACGUUUGAAACAUCAUUCUUUAAUAUUUUUAGUGAUUAUUUGUGACUGGUCUACUAAUAUUUUUUCUUGACCUGAUGAAUUAGCGCUUAGUCCACACAUUAAUUAUUCUGUAUAAUGCCAUUCUUCUGCUACAUCUUUCAUGGUUUCGCUCACUGAAAAAGGUGUAAGUGCCGUGAGUGAGUUCUCCUUCUCCUUCUGAAGUUUCCAGACUAAGCUUUGUCACUUUGUAGACAAGUUAGAAUGGUCAUUUAAAUACAGUAAUAGAACUUUAGUUGGGAAAAUUAAAAUUUUCGGAAUAAGAUUCAAAUCACUGCUCAUGAUUACAUAUGAACGGAAUUCAUUUGUAGUCAUAGAUGAACCAUAUUCAUAUUAACCCAUAAUUUAUUCUCUCAACCCAUAAUUUAUUCGCUCAAUCAAUUGAGAGUUUAAUCUGAGGAGCUAUGUUACAGGUCUUGAAAUGCGCGAUAGACACCUUUUAAGAGUGUAUCAAGAUAUAUGGAGUGCUUCCUACAUGUGUGGCUUUCCUCUGAUCGCAUUAGCUUACAAUAUGAAGUAUGAUAUGUGGCCUAUGCCUGCUUUGAUGGCAGCUCCAUUAUUUUUUGAGGCAUAUUUGAUCCUGAGAGGAGAUAUGCUGGAUGCAAAACUGAUCCAUCUUCAUCAUUUAUUAGCUGGUGUGGUCAAUAUUAUUGUGAGUAUGCGUUACAACUUCGGUGGAUGUUUUCAUAAUGCUCUCUACCCUUUGGCAACUAUUAUUUACGGAGAAACACCUUACCCAACAACAGGCAAAAGAAGUUUGAAUUGGUUGGUUAUCACAAGCAUGGCAAAUUUUCUUUACACUGGUAUUUUUCAAUAAAUAUCGAAAUAAUGUUGUAAUCAAAAAAAGACUGGUUCAAUAAAAGUAUCUUAUGUAUCUGAAUUCUCUGUGAUUUGUAUUUAUAUUUUGGAUCUGUAAAAAUCACAAAUUAAAACUUUUGAGAGGUGAAAAG
RNAcentral lists this unclassified non-coding RNA (3237 nucleotides) under Nilaparvata lugens (brown planthopper). Its description in RNAcentral is "uncharacterized LOC111049609, transcript variant X2". The record is from RNAcentral. Lineage: Eukaryota; Metazoa; Arthropoda; Insecta; Hemiptera; Delphacidae.